UGGAAUAUGUAAUGAUAUAUUCUGUGACUCUAGUAUAUUAGUCUUGUAUCAGCUCAGUCUGUUGUGAAUCCUGCCCACUUCUUUGCAUGGUCAGCACAUGCUUCAGUGCUCUGAGAGUGUUUAUAGAGCUGUGAGUUUAACACUUCAUGACUGAGAGCAGAACAGAACACAAUCUUCAUCAUCACACAAGACACAACAACAACAAUGAACAACAUCAUCAUCCUCAUCUGGACCAUUGCAGCUUUUAUUCAUGAAUCCAGAGGAAUCACUGUGACCCAGCCUAAAGUUAAAACUGUCCAGCUCGGUCAAACAGCUACAAUAGAGUGUAAUCUGGAUGUAGGACUAUCCUCUAAUGAUUUAGCUUGGUAUCAGCAGAAACCUGGAGAAGCUCCUAAACUCCUCAUAUAUGGCAUACAAUACCUCCAGUCAGGAACUCCAUCUAGAUUCAGUGGCAGUGGAUCUAGAAAAGGAAAAUAUUUCACUCUGACCAUCAGUGGAGUCCAGACUGAAGAUACAGGAGAUUAUUACUGUCAGAGUUACCACAGUGGUUAUGUGUUCACACAGUGAUAAAGAGUCGUACAAAAACCUCCGUCAGUCAGAGUCACAGUGACUGCACUGAUACAGCUGAGAGACACUGCAGCUGAUG
Molecule: non-coding RNA, 646 nt
Organism: Carassius gibelio (silver crucian carp)
Lineage: Eukaryota; Metazoa; Chordata; Actinopteri; Cypriniformes; Cyprinidae
Source: the annotation of a RefSeq genome assembly